CCGGAGCAGCUGACAGGUAGCGGCCCGGCGAGGGAGCUUCAAGGAUGGCGGCGGCCGCGGCGCUGAUCCUGCGGGAGAGCCCCAGCAUGAAAAAAGCAGUGUUGCUGAUAAAUGCAAUAGAUAUAGGAAGAUUUCCACGGCUGCUCACCCGAAUUCUUCAAAAACUUCACCUGAAGGCUGAGAACAGUUUCAGUGAAGAAGAGGAAGAAAAACUUCAAGCUGCAUUUUCUCUAGAAAAACAAGAUCUUCACCUAGUUCUUGAAACAAUAUCAUUCAUUUUAGAACAGGCAGUAUAUCACAAUGUGAAGCCAGCAGCUUUGCAGCAGCAGUUAGAGAACAUUCAUCUUAGACAAGACAAAGCAGAAGCAUUUGUCAAUACUUGGUCUUCCAUGGGUCAAGAAACAGUCGAAAAAUUCAGGCAGAGGAGUCUUGCUCCCCACAAGCUAGAGACGGUCGGAUGGCAGCUUAACCUUCAGAUGGCUCACUCUGCUCAAGCAAAACUAAAAUCUCCUCAAGCUGUGUUACAGCUAGGAGUGAGCAAUGAAGAUUCAAAGAGAUGGGUUUUAGGGUUUAACAGUGCAGAAGGUGAUCAUUUCAUGCAGACUAGACUAUUCUGGAAGGGAGAAGAAAUCCCUUUGGAAAAUACCAUAUUGUAUCCCAGCAUAACAUUUCUAAGUUUUGUUGCUACCAGUCAGCUUAUUUUAAUUGCAUUUAGAUUCAGAUAUGACCAUCUCCCAUGGUUUCACUUUUGUUGACUCUGCUUACACUGUUUUACACGAUAAUUAUCUUAAAGAAAUAAAAUUAAAAUCCCAAGUCAGUUGGCUUAAACUAUGGAGAGUAUCUAGAUGAGCCUGACUCAAUCAGGUGUGUUCUUUACAAGCAAAAAGUUUUCUCUGGCUGGUAGCAGAAGAAAAAGUUAAAGAUUCAAAGUGUGCAAAGGACUGCAUAUGUUGCUGGUUUGAAGAUGGAGAAAUUGCUGAGAAAGAAUGAGGGCAACCUCUAGGAACAGAGAGUGGCUCAAUGUUGAUGGCAAGGAAACAGACCAUCAGCGGCAAGAAUUAGAAGCUGCUACCAACCGCUUUGAAGCAGCUCUUCCCCAGAGCUUCCACGGAAGAACCCAGCCUGACUGACACCUGAUUACAGCCCUGGCAGCCUUGGCUUGUUCACUUGGUUUAGCGAGAGCAUGAAACGACACAGGCUUCUUGAGGCCUAGGUGCAGAAUUGGCACACGUGCUAUUUUCAUCACAUUCUGUUGGCCAAAGUAAGUCAAGAGAACAGGCCAGAUUCAAGGAGUAGCGAAACAGAUUCUAAUUAUUGAUGGGAGAUGCUAUUGAGUCAUUUCAGAGGUAAUCUCUAACUGGAGACCUGAAAGAAGUAUGCACGUCUUGAGGAAGAAUGGUCUGUAAGAAGAAACAGCAAAUGCAAAGGCCCUAAGAAGGAAGGAUGCUUACUGUAUUUCCAGAAUAGUGAGGAGGCUACUGUGGCCUCAAGAGUCAACUCUGUGGUGAGGAGGAUGGGCGUUUCAGUUGAUAAGGUGAGAGUAAUGAUGGUGGGAGAAGAUGGAAUCCUGUAGAGCCUUAUGGGCCCUGGUAAAAAUUCUCAGUGGGUAAUUUUGAGCAGAAG
Molossus molossus (Pallas's mastiff bat) is the source of this 1623-nucleotide RNA transcript. It is a transcript of the gene named COMM domain containing 10, with no coding region annotated. The record is from RefSeq and is a predicted model, not a curated record. Lineage: Eukaryota; Metazoa; Chordata; Mammalia; Chiroptera; Molossidae. The transcript has 10 exons.